AAGAUGCAGAUGCUUUCCUUCUGUGUACACAGUUAGGCUAGCCGUCCAGUACACUGAACUGUCACAGAGGUCCUCACACAGGUCCUCCUCCUAAUCCUGCGACCUCCACCACAGGUCACCGAACAAGUCCCCCACCGACCCCAUUGACUCCACUUGGCUGAUCACACAGAAAGACAGAAGGAAUUAUGCUUUAAACAAGGAACAUACUGUGUAUCACAGCUGAGCUGACAACGGUGCUGAGGAGCUCCACUGCUGAAAGCUACUGAUUACAGCAGUGACAAUGAUGGUUCAGU
Long non-coding RNA from Micropterus dolomieu (smallmouth bass), 293 nucleotides. RefSeq lists it as uncharacterized. The transcript is spliced from 3 exons. The record is from RefSeq and is a predicted model, not a curated record. NCBI's taxonomy places the organism in Eukaryota, Metazoa, Chordata, Actinopteri, Centrarchiformes, Centrarchidae.